UACAGAGGAUCCAAGUGUUAUCCGGAAUUACUGGGCGUAAAGAGUUGCGUAGGUGGCAUUGUAAGUUGGUAGUGAAAGCGUUCGGCUCAACCGGAUAAACAUUACCAAAACUACAAAGCUAGAGGAUGAGAGAGGUUAUUGGAAUGCCAAGUGUAGGAGUGAAAUCCGUAGGUAUUUGGAGGAACACCGAUGGCGUAGGCAGAUAACUGGCUCAUUCCUGACACUAAGGCACGAAAGCGUGGGGAGCAAACGGG
Molecule: ribosomal RNA, 254 nt
Filed under: uncultured bacterium
Lineage: Bacteria
Description: partial 16S ribosomal RNA
Rfam family: Bacterial small subunit ribosomal RNA
Source: RNAcentral